UACGUAGGGUCCGAGCGUUGUCCGGAAUUAUUGGGCGUAAAGCGCGCGUAGGCGGACCUGCAAGUCGGGGGUGAAAGCCCGAGGCUCAACCUCGGAACUGCCUUCGAUACUGCGGGUCUCGAGUCCGGGAGAGGUGAGUGGAAUUCCUAGUGUAGAGGUGAAAUUCGUAGAUAUUAGGAAGAACACCAGUGGCGAAGGCGGCUCACUGGCCCGGUACUGACGCUGAGGCGCGAAAGCGUGGGGAGCAAACAGG
This 253-nucleotide ribosomal RNA is filed under the name uncultured bacterium. Its description in RNAcentral is "partial 16S ribosomal RNA". It matches the Rfam family "Bacterial small subunit ribosomal RNA", at positions 524 to 776 of the family's 1533-position model. The record is from RNAcentral.